This 430-nucleotide ribosomal RNA is filed under the name Acidobacteriota bacterium. RNAcentral describes it as "Acidobacteria bacterium partial 16S ribosomal RNA". It matches the Rfam family "Bacterial small subunit ribosomal RNA", at positions 355 to 776 of the family's 1533-position model. The record is from RNAcentral. Lineage: Bacteria; Pseudomonadati; Acidobacteriota.
UGGGGAAUAUUGGACAAUGGGCGGAAGCCUGAUCCAGCCAUGCCGCGUGUGUGAAGAAGGCCUUUUGGUUGUAAAGCACUUUAUGCGAGGAGGAGGCUACUUGGAUUAAUACUCUAGGAUAGUGGACGUUACUCGCAGAAUAAGCACCGGCUAACUCUGUGCCAGCAGCCGCGGUAAUACAGAGGGUGCGAGCGUUAAUCGGAUUUACUGGGCGUAAAGCGUGCGUAGGCGGCUUCUUAAGUCGGAUGUGAAAUCCCUGAGCUUAACUUAGGAAUUGCAGUCGAUACUGGGAAGCUAGAGUAUGGGAGAGGAUGGUAGAAUUCCAGGUGUAGCGGUGAAAUGCGUAGAGAUCUGGAGGAAUACCGAUGGCGAAGGCAGCCAUCUGGCCUAAUACUGACGCUGAGGUACGAAAGCAUGGGGAGCAAACAGG